RNAcentral lists this long non-coding RNA (1311 nucleotides) under Pongo abelii (Sumatran orangutan). Its description in RNAcentral is "lincRNA". Lineage: Eukaryota; Metazoa; Chordata; Mammalia; Primates; Hominidae. The record is from RNAcentral.
UGAGUACUGGGUCCACUGGAGAGGGAAGAGCCGCGGCCGCGAGGAUUCCCAGCAGCGGCCGCGUGUUGAGAGCCUAGAAGUGGCCCCGAAGCCGUGCCUUUCCCGAUAGCCAAGCAGAAGUAGGACUCGAAGCACCGGGGCUGGGAUGCCCAUGCUGGUGACGCCCUGGGGUUCGCAGUUAUACUUGGCGACCGGUCUACACGGCGAUUCGGUGCUUUUCGGAGUAGCAGAUUCAUCUAUCUUUAGAUCCACCUUCGUCCUUCGGCGGUUUAGCCCGGCCUGCGCUUUCCUGCGAGCCCAGCUGUCACCCAAACAGCCUGAUGACUUCACGCUCAACCACUGGAGGGCACAACCACAUCAUUUUUUAAAAAUAGAUUUCCCCCACUUAAAGGACAUGGUUUUGGGGGAAAGAACAUUUUAAAAAUGUAAAAAGAUAUAUAUCUAUAUCUAUGUAUCUGUCUCAGAUUGUUCUGAUAUAAACUCAGGUGGGAUUCUUCAAAACAGGAGGCUGUUCCAGUCCCUUCAUUUUGCAGCUGAGAAAACGAAGGCCUUGGAGCUUAAGAACUCCAGUUGCCCAUGGCACACAAGUGGUGGGUAAGGAAGCUGAUCAUUUCUCCAAAGAAUCCUUCCAUGACCCAGGAGGAUCCGGUGGGAGAGCAGGGCCGUCCACAGCUCAGCUAGGACACAAGAAGGCCCAGGGUGGCAGGAGCCCCACUGUGUGCUGUGGAGGAUGGCAGAGGAAAAGUCAGCACUGUCCCGAAACUACAGGAUCAUGUGAUGUGAUGGGAAAAAAUUAUGAGUACAAGACACAGGAAGAGCAGGUCACGGAAACACAUGGUGCCCAGAAGGGCUUAACUAGUUGCAGCUGUGCAGGGCGAUGCACAGAGUGCCCCAAGGGUGUCCUGAGUGAGGGUAGAUGUCCCCUGCCUUCUGGCUUCGUGAAGGCUUCGUGAAGCCUGCCGGGUCACCCUUGUUUUCAUGGAUAGCUUCUUUAGGACACUCUCUCCACCAGUAAUUGACAAAGUCUGCUUCUGUUGAGUGUCUGAUAAAGGAUUGAGUUUACAUGAUUGUUAAGAUAGGAUCAUGAAAGAAGACAGAAGACGCAUGUGAGUGGCCCUCAGAAAAAAAGCAUCAAAGGAAACUGAGGAGUCUGUGUUCCGUGUUAUAACAUCAGUCCUGUGUUGAAAGCAUAUUGACUUUCCUGACUUCUUAUGACCACAUUUGAGGAAAGGAGUAAGCACUGGAAUCACCAACACAGCACGCUUACGGAGGGUGGUCACCAGCUUCAUCAGCCUCCCAAUUCCACGGAGC